RNAcentral lists this ribosomal RNA (253 nucleotides) under uncultured bacterium. Its description in RNAcentral is "partial 16S ribosomal RNA". It matches the Rfam family "Bacterial small subunit ribosomal RNA", at positions 524 to 776 of the family's 1533-position model. The record is from RNAcentral.
UACGUAGGCAGCAAGCGUUGUUCGGAAUUACUGGGCGUAAAGAGUUCGUAGGCGGUUUGCCAAGUUUGGUGUGAAAUCUCCCGGCUUAACUGGGAGGGUGCGCUAAAUACUGGCAGGCUUGAGUAUAGGAGAGGAAAGCGGAAUUCCUGGUGUAGCGGUGAAAUGCGUAGAUAUCAGGAGGAACACCUGUGGUGUAGACGGCUUUCUGGACUAUAACUGACGCUGAGGAACGAAAGCGUGGGUAGCAAACAGG